RNAcentral lists this ribosomal RNA (760 nucleotides) under uncultured Pseudomonadota bacterium. Its description in RNAcentral is "bacterial SSU rRNA". It matches the Rfam family "Bacterial small subunit ribosomal RNA", at positions 8 to 765 of the family's 1533-position model. The record is from RNAcentral. Lineage: Bacteria; Pseudomonadati; Pseudomonadota.
AGAGUUUGAUCCUGGCUCAGAUUGAACGCUGGCGGCAUGCCUUACACAUGCAAGUCGAACGGCAGCGCGGGGCAACCUGGCGGCGAGUGGCGAACGGGUGAGUAAUACAUCGGAACGUGCCCGAGAGUGGGGGAUAACGGAGCGAAAGCUUUGCUAAUACCGCAUACGAUCUACGGAUGAAAGCAGGGGACCGCAAGGCCUUGCGCUCAUGGAGCGGCCGAUGGCAGAUUAGGUAGUUGGUGGGAUAAAAGCUUACCAAGCCGACGAUCUGUAGCUGGUCUGAGAGGACGACCAGCCACACUGGGACUGAGACACGGCCCAGACUCCUACGGGAGGCAGCAGUGGGGAAUUUUGGACAAUGGGCGCAAGCCUGAUCCAGCCAUGCCGCGUGCAGGAUGAAGGCCUUCGGGUUGUAAACUGCUUUUGUACGGAACGAAAAGACUCUUUCUAAUAAAGAGGGUCCAUGACGGUACCGUAAGAAUAAGCACCGGCUAACUACGUGCCAGCAGCCGCGGUAAUACGUAGGGUGCGAGCGUUAAUCGGAAUUACUGGGCGUAAAGCGUGCGCAGGCGGUUAUGUAAGACAGAUGUGAAAUCCCCGGGCUCAACCUGGGAACUGCAUUUGUGACUGCAUAGCUAGAGUACGGUAGAGGGGGAUGGAAUUCCGCGUGUAGCAGUGAAAUGCGUAGAUAUGCGGAGGAACACCGAUGGCGAAGGCAAUCCCCUGGACCUGUACUGACGCUCAUGCACGAAAGCGUGGG